RNAcentral lists this ribosomal RNA (588 nucleotides) under Streptomyces sp. CATR-149. Its description in RNAcentral is "bacterial SSU rRNA". It matches the Rfam family "Bacterial small subunit ribosomal RNA", at positions 275 to 873 of the family's 1533-position model. Lineage: Bacteria; Bacillati; Actinomycetota; Actinomycetes; Kitasatosporales; Streptomycetaceae. The record is from RNAcentral.
GACGACGGGUAGCCGGCCUGAGAGGGCGACCGGCCACACUGGGACUGAGACACGGCCCAGACUCCUACGGGAGGCAGCAGUGGGGAAUAUUGCACAAUGGGCGAAAGCCUGAUGCAGCGACGCCGCGUGAGGGAUGACGGCCUUCGGGUUGUAAACCUCUUUCAGCAGGGAAGAAGCGAAAGUGACGGUACCUGCAGAAGAAGCGCCGGCUAACUACGUGCCAGCAGCCGCGGUAAUACGUAGGGCGCAAGCGUUGUCCGGAAUUAUUGGGCGUAAAGAGCUCGUAGGCGGCUUGUCACGUCUGGUGUGAAAGCCCGGGGCUUAACCCCGGGUCUGCAUCCGAUACGGGCAGGCUAGAGUGUGGUAGGGGAGAUCGGAAUUCCUGGUGUAGCGGUGAAAUGCGCAGAUAUCAGGAGGAACACCGGUGGCGAAGGCGGAUCUCUGGGCCAUUACUGACGCUGAGGAGCGAAAGCGUGGGGAGCGAACAGGAUUAGAUACCCUGGUAGUCCACGCCGUAAACGUUGGGAACUAGGUGUGGGCGACAUUCCACGUCUUCGGUGCCGCAGCUAACGCAUUAAGUUGCCCCCC